GCUCUACCACUUCAUUUCCGCACGACCGAAUCUCUGCCCAAUUCCCUCCCCGCUACGCACCUCCGCCCUCCAUUCAUGGAGUCGGCGUGGGGGUCAACACCCCUCUCUUUCGGGAUACGAUAUUCGUUUUUGUGUUCUUCUGUUAAUUAUUGUUGUCAAUUUUCAUUUUCGUUUCAAUUUGUUGUCAAUUUUAAUUUUAGGGUUUUGUGUUAUCUGUUAUUUUCGUCUACUAUUAUUUGCAUUGAAGUGUGUUUCACAAUUUAAUUUAUUGUUCGCACCUCCACUCCGGCCUCCACCCGAUUCCCUCCCCGCUCCACCACCUCUGCUUCGCACCUCCGCUCUCCGUUCAUGGAGUUGUCGCAGGGGUCAACCCUCCACUUUUGGGCCUCCGCCUGAUUCCCACCCCGCUCCACCACCUCCGCUCCGCACCUCCGCCCUCCGUUCAUGAAGUCGGCACGGGUUUUUUUUAUUCUUCUGUUAAUUAUUGUUGUCAAUUUUAAUUUUGUUGUCGAUUUUAAUUUUAAGGUUUUUCUGUUAUUUGUUAUUUUCGUUUUCUGUUAUUUACAUUGAAGUUUGUUUACAAUUUAAUUUAUUAUUCUUUUAAGGAAUUGAAGUGUAUUUGGGCUCGUAUUCUAAAGUGAAUCCUGGAAAAAAUUCAUAUCCGAGGACUACUCAGAUCAAUCUUGGUAAACUAAACCCCUAUGAUAAUCUGUGCAUAAUGGCUUAUGCUGAAUUGGAUCGCAAAAAAAUGAUGGAACUCUCAAAGAACAUGUCUUAGGCACUCUUUCAGAGUCAUGUUCCCAUAUCCAGUGUGAUAUGAUACUUGACAGAAAAUUCAUACUUCAUCACGAUUCAAAGUACACUAAUAUCCAUUUCAUAGGAUAUCUGACUUCUGAUGCAGUGACAAAACAAGAUGACGGGAAAGCUGAUUCCGGCAAUCAGGGGUGAGCAUUCGGUUAAUUCGAUUAAUUUGAUAUUAAUUUUGUAUAAAUUCUUUUUAUUGUUAUUUUAAACAAAUUUAGUUAAUUCGGUGUUAACUGAAAUAACUAAUUCGGU
Molecule: long non-coding RNA, 1056 nt
Organism: Zingiber officinale
Lineage: Eukaryota; Viridiplantae; Streptophyta; Magnoliopsida; Zingiberales; Zingiberaceae
Exons: 3
Source: RefSeq, a predicted model, not a curated record